This is a long non-coding RNA of Betta splendens (Siamese fighting fish), 3377 nucleotides long. RefSeq lists it as uncharacterized. The record is from RefSeq and is a predicted model, not a curated record. The transcript is spliced from 3 exons. NCBI's taxonomy places the organism in Eukaryota, Metazoa, Chordata, Actinopteri, Anabantiformes, Osphronemidae.
ACGCGCGUGUGAGCAUUGUGAUGCUGCGCAUCGCAGCGGCCGGCCGCUCCGAGCGCUAGCGGAGCCGCCGCUAGCGAGCGCCUUGCGGCCGAAGGCGUCACCGUCAGACAAGUGGGAACAUCUGCACAAACGGUGAACACAAAGGUUCAGCGUCGGGCUCAGAGUCGCGGGGGACCGGGGUAAGGUACAGCAGGAGUGAGAAUGCUAAUGAGUCACAGUGUGUUGUUAUGAUCCCAACACAGCAGCUCAGCAAAGACAUGCAAAGACAUGCACAUGCAGGGUGAUGAAGAUGGUGCACGGUACUUAUAGUUUCACACUAUUCGCCGGGUUUAAGUUCCCUGAGACGGAGCAUCGUGACUUGAGUUUGCAGUCGUGGAGGCUGAAAUAGUCAAAUAGGAGGCAAAGGUUUCCUUGCACUUCAGCUGCUGUUAUUAUUAUUAUUGUCCCCAACACCAUCGAAUGUCCAACUCAGUCACGUCGGGAACUGACAACAAGCCGGAUGCGUCUUCAUGAUCCCUGAUUCUCACGUAAUGUGUGAUGAUUACAGAUAAAUCACAUGAAGUGAAAUGUUUGCAGGCACAGAAACAGGUACUUUGAAUAAUUAGAUGGCACAAACAGGCGUGCGUGCGCGCGCACACACACGCACAAACACAGACACACACUGGUUUCCUCUUGUAAAAGCGCUGUACUUAGAUUUUAAGCAGCCAAAGUGAACGUCCUCCACGGAACGGUUCAAUUAAAGCGCGCUCACGCGCCGACGCCGUGGAGCGUCUCGCUCCUCGCGCUGCACAGAACUCGGCGGCGUUAAUCCGAGACGCAGCCGCUGCCUCGGCGCAGACGACAACGAGGAGCCUCGCCGUCCUCCGACCUGCAAACACCAGCGGCUGCUCGCUUUAAUCCGGGGUCACGGGCCGUGAACUCGUCUCGUUGCCGUAGUUAGUGCGCAGUUCGGAGCCCGCGCGGCGUUUGUGGAGCCACCGCGAACCGUGCACGCGUUCACGUCUGACUCAUUGUUCAGGACGCACGGAAGCAGCAGUGGCGCGUGCAGUCACGAAAAUAGCCGAAGGGCGCGUUUUAUGCGGCUUGUUUACUGUUUUACGUACACUGGAUGCCCGCGAGGCGCGUUUGGCCCUGAGCGCGUGCAAAAGGCGCUAUUUAUGAUCAUUACAGUAUACGCAACUAUUAGGACUAACAAGAACCCACUUUAGACUAAUGCAAAGCGCUGCCAGGAUGAAGGCUGAGGUGUUGAAGCUGAACCGGACUCCUCCGCCUCGGCACCGUGAGGUUCUGCUGGUGUGGACCGGCGUCCCGGGGCGGAACGUGCCCUCCGCCUGGCGGCAACAGCUGGCGCUUUGUGCGGAGCAGACACGGGUUAAUUACAUAUUUGAGAUGGAUUGCUCGCAGCGGGGCUUUAAAUCCAGGAUCCCUCAGGAAACUUUGAAAACCGUCCGCACACGCGAGCUUUUGUUCUUCCCUCGUUUCACGUAAACGCCAAAGCGAAUACGAAGCCUCGCAAUUAAAACACACCAGGAAGCGGCGACCGGGCGACUCGAAUCGCGGCUUUUGGCACCGCUUUUCUAUUCGUCUGCCUUCGAGCGCGUGCGAUCUCUGCGGGGCUCGAUGCGGGACUGGCCCGCGCGUGACCCUCAUUUUGUGUUUAUAUUGUAAAGGCAGCGCCUGGCUCUCGCGCAGCGCCCUGGAGAAAUACCCUGCACCUCGUUAUCGCCGCAUCUCUCAGGGAGGCCGCGUCUCAAUCCGUCCACUGCAGGACGGCGCUAAACGACGCGGGCGUGCGCUGAAUGCGGAAUGACUGCGACGCUUUAACGCUCCGCUUCUUUUACUUCAGCAAAGCGACGGUACGUCAGGCGGCCACGCUGACCACCGCCUCCAUUAAAAUCAGCCGCCGUGGCUCCAGUAAUGACCACAGGAGCCUGGGACCUGAGUGUCUAGUUGAACGUUUGAGCGCAGACACUAAAGGCAGGAGACAAAUGCGGCGUGGAGCGUUGACGGCUUCCGGAAACGCCGCAGCGCGGUGCUGCACACGAAUCUCCGCCUCGGCCGGUUUUCCCUGCACAUGUAUUGGUUUCACCCCUGACACGAACGGGAGCGCGCACACCUCCGAGGGCCGCUGCAGAAGCGGGCACGCGCGCCAUCCGGAGGAGACGCUGCUGCGAGCUAACGCGGCUAACGCGGCUAACGCGGCAGUGAAGCGUUCAAUGACCCCAGUCUCUGCAUCCUCACAGGGUCACGUGGACCAAGCAGCUCCCUGGGCACCGAGUAGCACAGCCGAGGUUGUCGGAGGUGCCGCAGCCGGCCAUAUGGAGCGAUGGAGGACGGAUGGGGUUUUAAGUGGCGGCCGGUGGACGGGGAUCUCCUCUUAUUGCCUGUGAGCAGAACUAGGCAGGCCACACACACUCAUGCCGGGUCCUGAGGCGACAGAUCAGCCCGUGUGUGACGCUGCUCCUCCUGUAGAUGCUGCCAGCGCCCCAUCUGCGUUUAUAGAUAUUUCCAUGUCAGAGCUGAGCUCCAUCAAUCUUUCCUCACAGAAGCGACAGCCGUCCGCUGAAGGACACAGAGUCCAGAUGAUGACUAAGAAUUCCUGGAGGAGUUGACAGUAUGCAAAUAAGAGGUCAAGGUUGCUGAAGUCACACUCCAUAUAAUUCUGCAUCUUGGGCGCUUUACAGUGGGAUGAGUCAGGUGAGCGUGGCUCCGGUGCCUUUCUUCUGGGAACACGAGGGAGACUCUGCUUUCUCUGCUCGCUUGGCUCGUUUCUGCAUCCUUUGGUCUUUUGACACUGUGGGUUUUGCGGUUAAUGGUGAGAAACAGGCUAAUGAGAAUGGCAGAAACUCUCUCAGGACAAAUACAAACUCAGGAGGAGCAAAAGUCUGGAGCAGCUGGGAUUGUUUUCAUAAUGAUGCAACUUCUUGCAACUGCUUUUACUGUUUUAGUAAUGCCACUGUAUACGUUUGACAUUAACACGUUUUAAUAGCUAAAGUUUAGAGCAUUUUGCAGUUGGUGAAAAUAUAAAUGAUAACAUCCAUGCUAUUCAAUUAUACAAUUCUUCAUAAAGGUUCUGUCAUAUAUUACAUGUAUUUGUAUUAUUCCCAUAUUUCAUGGCCUUCACUGUUCUAAUGUGGCUACAGUGUGUUGAAGGUGUCUGUAGUGAACCAACACAGGCCUGAAUCAUCUGACUAUGACUGCAUCUGUGCAGAUAACGCAUGCUUUCUCCAGCAUGUGUCAGAAGAUUACGUCAGGGCUGUUCUCCCUUCUUUAAACACGCAGCUCAAAAAAACGCACUUCUUCUGAACACAAUCUUUAAAAUGCCACGUCGUCAAAGCGGAGCCUGACAUUUUAGGACCAAACACUUCUUUCCAAUU